Molecule: transfer RNA, 75 nt
Filed under: Rhodoluna lacicola
Lineage: Bacteria; Bacillati; Actinomycetota; Actinomycetes; Micrococcales; Microbacteriaceae
Also listed under: 1 other name
Description: tRNA-Asp
Rfam family: tRNA
About the family: Transfer RNA (tRNA) molecules are approximately 80 nucleotides in length. Their secondary structure includes four short double-helical elements and three loops (D, anti-codon, and T loops).
Source: RNAcentral
GAUCCUGUAGCUCAGUUGGUUAGAGCGCCGCCCUGUCACGGCGGAGGUCGCGGGUUCAAGUCCCGUCAGGAUCGC